UGAGGGGUGUUAACAUGUCUAAUCAUUGAUACCUUUCGCCAGUAUGGCAUGUUCAAUGAUAAGUAAUGAUUACAGGUUUUUGUUCUAAUAUAUGUCUCUGUUCUGCAGCUGAAGAGGAGGAUUUUCACGAUUACUAUACGUCACUCUUUGCUGUCUCUGCGAGCAGGGACAGGGUUGACCCUCAGAGCACUACACCUCAGUCCUGCCUUGUCAUAGAGGUCCUGGAUGAAACAGACAAUGAUAUAAAUGGAAGCCUUGCUGAAGACAACAAAGUGGUUCCAUCUGUUCAGUGGAGCUCCAGCAGUGGGAGAACAGCUUCUCAAACAACCUUAACCAGUGUAAUGUCCUAUAAAAGUGAGCCACCAGCCUGCCCCACUGCUGAGACUCCAAGGUCUUCAAAGUCAUCUAGCAAGACUCCAAGCUCAAAGGCACAAACGACCAGUUUGUCUGCCACUGCUCCCAAAUCAGAGCUGACCAAAGAUCUCCACACCCAUUGUCCUCCCGCUCAUUACCACAAUUCCACUCUGAAAUCCGAAAGUUCUCACCCUCAUGUUCACCUUCUCAUAAAGGCUCAGACUCAUACCUGUUACCAAAAACCAACCAGUCUUCCCCAGUUUCUUCUAGAACCAGUCUCAUGCACAAGGCCUUCUCAGUCACCACCAGCCACUCUGGAGUCCCCACAAACAUUCCUCGUGUGUCCCAGAAUAUCUUCUAUCAGCUGA
RNAcentral lists this long non-coding RNA (722 nucleotides) under Betta splendens (Siamese fighting fish). RNAcentral's name for it is "lncRNA (ENSBSLG00000022821.1)". Lineage: Eukaryota; Metazoa; Chordata; Actinopteri; Anabantiformes; Osphronemidae. The record is from RNAcentral.